Molecule: ribosomal RNA, 817 nt
Filed under: Stutzerimonas stutzeri
Lineage: Bacteria; Pseudomonadati; Pseudomonadota; Gammaproteobacteria; Pseudomonadales; Pseudomonadaceae
Description: bacterial SSU rRNA
Rfam family: Bacterial small subunit ribosomal RNA
Source: RNAcentral
AAAGACCCCGGGGCUCUAUAACCUGGGGAAACUGUCACUACUAAGAAACUGUGCGCAGGUAGAUCGUAUGAGGGGGUGGGGUGGAAUUUCCGUGGUACGGUGUAAACGGUAGUAUGGGGAACCGUGUGCGAGGCGCCACCUGGGAAACUGCAUAGGUGCGAAAGCGUGGGGAGCAAACAGGAUUAGAUUCCUGGUAGUUCCGCCGUAAAGAUGUUGAUACCGUUGGGAUCCUUGAGAUUUAGUGUCGCAGCUACGCAUUAAGUUGCCCCUGGGGAGUCGGCCCAAGGUUAAAAUCAAAUGAAUUGCGGGGGCCGCCCACGGUGGAGCAUGUGGUUUAAUUUGAAGCAACGAAGAACCUUCCAGCCUUCAUUCAGAGAACUUUCCAGAGAUGGAUUGGUCCUUUGGGAAUCUGACACAGGUGCAUGGCGUUGUCAGCUCGUGUCGUGAGAUGUUGGGUUAAGUCCCGUAACGAGCGCCACCCUUGUCCUUAGUUCCACUUAGUUGGGCACUCUAAGGAGACUGCCGGUGACAAACCGGAGGAAGGUGGGGAUGACGUCAAGUCAUCAUGGCCCUUACGCGGGCUACACACGUGCUACAAUGGUGUACAAAGGGUGCCAACGCGAGGCAGCUAAUCCCAUAAAACCGAUCGUAGUCCGGAUCGCAGUCUGCAACUCGACUCGUGAAGUCGGAAUCGCUAGUAAUCGUGAUCAGAAUGUCACGGUGAAUACGUUCCCGGGCCUUGUACACACCGCCCGUCACACCAUGGGAGUGGGUUGCUACCAGAAGUAAGUAGUCUAACCUUCGGGGGCGGUUCCAC